RNAcentral lists this ribosomal RNA (255 nucleotides) under Escherichia coli. Its description in RNAcentral is "partial 23S ribosomal RNA". It matches the Rfam family "Bacterial large subunit ribosomal RNA", at positions 2062 to 2316 of the family's 2925-position model. Lineage: Bacteria; Pseudomonadati; Pseudomonadota; Gammaproteobacteria; Enterobacterales; Enterobacteriaceae. RNAcentral also lists the same sequence under 1 other name. The record is from RNAcentral.
CAGUGUACCCGCGGCAAGACGGAAAGACCCCGUGAACCUUUACUAUAGCUUGACACUGAACAUUGAGCCUUGAUGUGUAGGAUAGGUGGGAGGCUUUGAAGUGUGGACGCCAGUCUGCAUGGAGCCGACCUUGAAAUACCACCCUUUAAUGUUUGAUGUUCUAACGUUGGCCCCUGAUCGGGGUUGCGGACAGUGUCUGGUGGGUAGUUUGACUGGGGCGGUCUCCUCCUAAAGAGUAACGGAGGAGCACGAAGG